GGAGCCGUUAGUUCCUUGUCCUCUUAUGGUUCGUGAAUCUUCCCCGAGACUUGACACCGCUCCUCUCCAGUUUGCUCCGCGAGGUUUGCUUCCCAGAGCUUGCUGCUCACUGUGAGCCGCGAGCAAAAUACUCUCUGCUCCUCUUGUGUAUUCCGACGAGGUAAGUCUCUGACUUUCUUCUUGCACGGCCAAUUGGUAAAUUCGACCGAGCGAUGGCACAGGAUCCAUGGCCAAAAUCUGAGAUCUAAACGGGAGGUAAGUAUCAUUCAAAAUUAAGAGGAAUCGUGUUACCUUUUCCCGUUCUUUUAUUGCCUUAUAUUGUUUUAAGGUGGAUUUCGGCCCUUUGAGUUUCUCCUCGGCCGCUUCCAGCUCAUUCCAAAGUGCCGAGAGCUUGUUGAAGCAUGCCGUGAUGGACAUGUUUCCUUGCUUUAGCUCUGAGAGUGCCUGGGUUAUUGUUCCCUCUUUGCAACAGCAAGGAAAGAAAACUUCGGCAGACAAUCAAUAAUUUGUGCGGAAGCUAGACCAGGACUUCGAGGACGCUCCGAUACCAAGAAAGA
Molecule: long non-coding RNA, 557 nt
Organism: Rhodamnia argentea
Lineage: Eukaryota; Viridiplantae; Streptophyta; Magnoliopsida; Myrtales; Myrtaceae
Exons: 2
Source: RefSeq, a predicted model, not a curated record